ACAACAUUCGGGCCGUUGGCUUAUGGGGCAAUAUUCAAGGCUCGAUGGAAGAUCUUCCCUUUGUCGU
RNAcentral lists this microRNA precursor (67 nucleotides) under Bombyx mori (domestic silkworm). RNAcentral describes it as "mir-2774 microRNA precursor family". It matches the Rfam family "mir-2774 microRNA precursor family". The record is from Rfam by way of RNAcentral. Lineage: Eukaryota; Metazoa; Arthropoda; Insecta; Lepidoptera; Bombycidae.